UGAGGAAUAUUGGACAAUGGGCGCAAGCCUGAUCCAGCCAUGCCGCGUGCAGGAUGACGGUCCUAUGGAUUGUAAACUGCUUUUUGUACAGGAAGAAACAGUUCUACGUGUAGAACCUUGACGGUACUGUAAGAAUAAGGAUCGGCUAACUCCGUGCCAGCAGCCGCGGUAAUACGGAGGAUCCAAGCGUUAUCCGGAAUCAUUGGGUUUAAAGGGUCCGUAGGCGGUUAGAUAAGUCAGUGGUGAAAGCCCAUCGCUCAACGGUGGAACGGCCAUUGAUACUGUCUGACUUGAAUUAUUAGGAAGUAACUAGAAUAUGUAGUGUAGCGGUGAAAUGCUUAGAGAUUACAUGGAAUACCAAUUGCGAAGGCAGGUUACUACUAAUGGAUUGACGCUGAUGGACGAAAGCGUGGGUAGCGAACAGGAUUAGAUACCCGGGUAGUCCCUGAGCGGGCUGGCAAGGCGCAU
Molecule: ribosomal RNA, 468 nt
Filed under: uncultured bacterium
Lineage: Bacteria
Description: bacterial SSU rRNA
Rfam family: Bacterial small subunit ribosomal RNA
Source: RNAcentral